This 305-nucleotide ribosomal RNA is filed under the name uncultured bacterium. RNAcentral describes it as "bacterial SSU rRNA". It matches the Rfam family "Bacterial small subunit ribosomal RNA", at positions 335 to 659 of the family's 1533-position model. The record is from RNAcentral.
UCCCUACGGGCGCAGCAGUGGGGAAUAUUGCACAAUGGGGGGAACCCUGAUGCAGCGACGCCGCGUGAGUGAAGAAGUAUUUCGGUAUGUAAAGCUCUAUCAGCAGGGAAGAAAAUGACGGUACCUGACUAAGAAGCCCCGGCUAACUACGUGCCAGCAGCCGCGGUAUUACGUAGGGGGCAAGCGUUAUCCGGAUUUACUGGGUGUAAAGGGAGCGUAUACGGCAGAGCAAGUCUGAAGUGAAAGCCCGCGGCCCAACUGCGGUACUGCUUUCGAAACUGCCCGGCUCGAGGUCUGGUGAGGUU